Long non-coding RNA from Gallus gallus (chicken), 432 nucleotides. NCBI's taxonomy places the organism in Eukaryota, Metazoa, Chordata, Aves, Galliformes, Phasianidae. The record is from Ensembl.
AUCUCUUGCUGGCGAUCGCAGACUACCUCUGGCCUUACAAGGAUCCUUGCUUCGUGAGGCUAGUCCUGAUGAAAUACUUUUCUAUAUCCUUUGGGAUAUGGAUUGCCUAUUCUUGAACAGGUAUCUGGGCAGUGUCCUCUCCUCGCAGUGUGCUGCUGCUCCUUGGAGUGCCCGGGGAAAGCUGGAUUUGAAAUUCAGUCUUUACUUUUUUCUUACCUUUGGCCCUGCUGCUGAAAUACUAGUUUCCAGACUGGUAAAAACUCUGUUGAAUAGCAUAAGGUCCCAAUUUGCUUGAAGAUCAUCAUUAUAUCUUUCUGCAGUCACAAGGCGGGAAGUGAAUUGCCAGCAGGAUGUGCAUAGUCCACAUGAACUGCUGAGAACUACCUCUUGUUUAAUUAAUAUUAAUUUACUAUUUAUAAAGUGAUAACAAGG